This 232-nucleotide ribosomal RNA is filed under the name uncultured bacterium. RNAcentral describes it as "partial 16S ribosomal RNA". It matches the Rfam family "Bacterial small subunit ribosomal RNA", at positions 99 to 334 of the family's 1533-position model. The record is from RNAcentral.
CGGACGGGUGAGUAAUGUAUGGGAAACUGCCCGAUGGAGGGGGAUAACUACUGGAAACGGUAGCUAAUACCGCAUAACGUCGCAAGACCAAAGAGGGGGACCUUCGGGCCUCUUGCCAUCGGAUGUGCCCAGAUGGGAUUAGCUAGUAGGUGGGGUAACGGCUCACCUAGGCGACGAUCCCUAGCUGGUCUGAGAGGAUGACCAGCCACACUGGAACUGAGACACGGUCCAG